Molecule: long non-coding RNA, 1088 nt
Organism: Nerophis ophidion (straightnose pipefish)
Lineage: Eukaryota; Metazoa; Chordata; Actinopteri; Syngnathiformes; Syngnathidae
Exons: 3
Source: RefSeq, a predicted model, not a curated record
UACGUUUGGUUUGAUGCUGACCUACAGAGCUUAGCUUGUUCCUUCGUAUUCCGGAUUGAAUUAUCACUCUUUCCGUCAAGCUGCCUCCUGUCAUGUCCUCACGCUUCUUGGAGACGCGACCUUCGCCGACAUGCUGCCUGUUCAAGACAUACUUCAUUGAAAAGUGUCAAAGCAAUUGAAAUAUCAGUAUCAGCUGCCAAGAGGGAACUGCACAUAUAAAACGAGAACAGUUUUCUAUAAUCUCCCAGUGCAGGGGUGUCUAAACCACGGCUCGCGGGCCAAGUGUGGCCCGCCAGCGUCUUCAGUUUGGCCCUCAAGACGUCUGGAGUUCAAUGAAGCGUCGCAACGUCAAGUGCUUGAAUACCAGGCAGUCUCCAAAAGCCGCAGAUUUGCUGCCAUCUUGUGGACAAGGUGAAGCUUUACUAUGGAUCAGAGCGGUCAAGCGAACAUGGAUCCCGACCACUUGUCAACCGGCAGGUUUCGGUGAGAAAAUUGUGGUAAAAAGUCGCCUCUUACCGGAGAUCUGCGGAGCUUGCGCCGUCCGUGCAGCUGCCGUGACUUCCCUCAGAGACUCUGGCGUCAAGACACCCGUGGACACACCCCUCCGACUAUCAGUCCUUCACUAUCAAUUUCCUCAUCCAUGAAUCUUCCAUCCUCGCUCAAAUUAAUGGGGAAAUUGUUGCUUUCUUGGUACGACUAGCUCUUGAUGCUGGAGGCUCCCAUUAUAAACAGGAGCCCUCACACCGGUGAUGUCAGCGUCUGCGACUUCCGGUAAAGGCAAGGCUUUUUUAUUAGCGACCAAAAGUUGCAAACUUUAUCGUGGAUGUUCUCUACUAAAUUCUUUCAGCAAAAAUAUGGCAAUAUGGCAAAAUGAUCAAGUAUGACAUAUAGAAUGGACCUGCUAUCCCCGUUUAAAUAAGAAAAUCUCAUUUCAGUAGGCCUUUAAGGAUUGGUUUGUUUAUGAAGCUUAUGCAUUUUAGAAACAAUCUUGUUGAAAGAUGCCAUGUUGGACCAAAAAUACAAAAAAAACAAAUCUGUCUGGAGCCGCAAAACGUUAAAAGCCUUAUGUAAGCGUUAUAAUAAGGGUG